CAACUGCAACAACAAACACAGCAGGUGCCACAACAACCACAGUUGCUCCAACAACAGCCGAAGCCACCACGUCAACCACAGCACUUCCCACAACAACUACAACUGCCACAACAACCAUAGAACAUUCCACGUCAACAACAACUGCACCCACGUCAACCACAGAUACAGCCACAACAACUACAACAACCACACCUGCUCCAACAACAACUACAGCUCUAACCACUACAGCUGCAGCCACGACAACAACAGCUCAAACAUCAACCACUACUGAUGUCUCAUCAACUACACCUGCUCCAACAUCAACAACAACUGCAACAACAAACAUGGCAGGUGCCACAACAACCACAGUUGCUCCAACAUCAACAUCGGCAACCACGUCAAUCACAGCACUUCCCACAACAACUGCAGCUGCCACAACAACCACAGAACAUGCCACAUCAACUACAACUGCACCCACUUCAACCACAGAUACAGCCACAACAACUACAUCUGCCAGUACAACAACCACACCUGCUCCAACAACAACUACAGCUGUCUCAUCAACUACACCUGCUCCAACAACAACUGCAACAACAAACACGGCAGGUGCCACAACAACCACAGUUGCUCCAACAGCAGCAACCACAUCAACCACAGCACUUCCCACAACAACAACUACAACUGCCACAAAAACCACAGAACCUGCCACAUCAACUACAACUGCACCCACGUCAACUACAGAUACAGCCACAACAACUACAUCUGCCACUACAACAACCACAGCUGCAACUACUACAACAACAGCUCAAACAUCAACCACUACAGCUGUCUCAUCAACUACACCUGCUCCAACAUCAACAACAACUGCAACAACAAACACAGCAGGUGCCACAACAACCACAGUUGCUCCAACAACAACCGAAGCCACCACGUCAACCACAGCACUUCCCACAACAACUACAACUGCCACAACAACCAUAGAACAUUCCACGUCAACAACAACUGCACCCACGUCAACCACAGAUACAGCCACAACAACUACAACAACCACACCUGCUCCAACAACAACUACAGCUCUAACCACUACAGCUGCAGCCACUACAACAACAGCUCAAACAUCAACCACUACUGAUGUCUCAUCAACUACACCUGCUCCAACAUCAACAACAACUGCAACAACAAACAUGGCAGGUGCCACAACAACCACAGUUGCUCCAACAUCAACAUCGGCAACCACGUCAACCACAGCACUUCCCUCAACAACUACAACUGCCACAACAACCACAGAACCUGCCACAUCAACAACAACUGCACCCACGUCAACUACAGAUACAGCCACAACAACUAUAUCUGCCACUACAACAACCACAGCUGCAACUACUACAACAACGGCUCAAACAUCAACCACUACAGCUUUCUCAUCAACUACACCUGCACCAACAACAACUGCGACAUCAACAACAACUGCAACAACAAACAUGGCAGGUGUCACAGCAACCACAUCUGCCACUACAACAACCACAUCUGCUCCAACAACAAUUACAGCUUCAACAACUACAACAACAGCUCAAACAUCAACCACUACAGCUGUCUCAUCAACUACACCUACUCCAACAUUAACAACUGCUGCAACAACAAACACUGCAGGUACCACAGAAAUCACGGUUCCUUCAACAACAAACUUGGCAGGUGCCACGUCAACCACAGCACUAACCCCAACUACUGCAGCCACAACUGCAACUACAGACUCAACAGCAAAGCCUACAGCAAAUGAGGGGUCAGUGGAAUUAGGAUUUAGAAUGAUCCGUACAUUCAUGGAUGAUUAUUCCAACUCUUCUACCACAGCAUAUCAGGAACUGGCAGCAAAUGUUACUACGGAGGUGAAUCGUGGUUACAAAAUAUUAUACCCCUUAACUUACCUAAGGUCUAGGAUCCUACAAUUCACGAGUGGCUCUGUUAUUGUCAACAUGACCCUUGUUUUUGUAAACCAGACAGUGGUUCCCAAUGUAACAAGUGUAAAGCAGGGAUUGGCCCUGUCUCUGGCUGAUGAUCACACCUUCUUAAAUGUUGAUCCAACCUCCAUUAGUGCAUCCACAACAACUGCUACCAUCACAGCCUCAACUACAGCCCCAACUACAGCAGGUCCAGCCUCAGUGGCCAGUAACUCAGGAGUCAACACCUUGACAAUCAACAGGUGGAUUGCAAUUUGGCUACCCAUACUCUUUACUACGCUAACAAGAUGGUCUCUUGAAUUGUGAAUUAAAAGACAUUAACAGAGCAACAACACUAUUUAUAUUAAAGUGAAGACUAAUGGAAAUUGACAUAGAAAGUUGUACUGCCUGCCUUAUUUAUAAUUUUCCAGAGGAGAAAUCAAAAUUGUACAAUGUUUUUUUUCCAUUUUCUGAUUCCAAUUUUCUAUUCCCGGUGGUUCACUGAUGUGAUAUUAUAUGAAGCAAAUUGAGUAUGCUCAAACUAUAAUAACCUAUUUUUACAUGCUACUUAAUGCUAAUGCUGUUAAAACUGCUGGGCAGAUUACAGUAUCCUCUUUAGUACUUUGAUUAAGACAUGAUGUGUUGCACCAAUAAACUGUAUUUCAUAAUAUUUAACAAUACCCUAUUUAUAAAGUAACAUUUUUAUAUUGAACAGUCUAUUGUCUUUAAUUAUACAGAUCAACAUAUCCAUAAAUAAA
Esox lucius (northern pike) is the source of this 2668-nucleotide long non-coding RNA. The record is from Ensembl. NCBI's taxonomy places the organism in Eukaryota, Metazoa, Chordata, Actinopteri, Esociformes, Esocidae.